RNAcentral lists this ribosomal RNA (499 nucleotides) under uncultured bacterium. RNAcentral describes it as "bacterial SSU rRNA". It matches the Rfam family "Bacterial small subunit ribosomal RNA", at positions 30 to 527 of the family's 1533-position model. The record is from RNAcentral.
AUUGAACGCUGGCGGAAUGCUUUACACAUGCAAGUCGAACGGUAGAGGGGGCAACCCCUUGAGAGUGGCGAACGGGUGAGUAAUAUAUCGGAACGUGCCCAGUCGUGGGGAUAACGUAGCGAAAGUUACGCUAAUACCGCAUACGAUCUAAGGAUGAAAGCGGGGGAUCGCAAGACCUCGCGCGAUUGGAGCGGCCGAUAUCAGAUUAGGUAGUUGGUGAGGUAAAGGCUCACCAAGCCAACGAUCUGUAGCUGGUCUGAGAGGACGACCAGCCACACUGGAACUGAGACACGGUCCAGACUCCUACGGGAGGCAGCAGUGGGGAAUUUUGGACAAUGGACGCAAGUCUGAUCCAGCCAUUCCGCGUGCAGGAUGAAGGCCCUCGGGUUGUAAACUGCUUUUGUACGGAACGAAACGGUGAGCUCUAAUACAGUUUGCUAAUGACGGUACCGUAAGAAUAAGCACCGGCUAACUACGUGCCAGCAGCCGCGGUAAAGUG